This 253-nucleotide ribosomal RNA is filed under the name uncultured bacterium. RNAcentral's name for it is "partial 16S ribosomal RNA". It matches the Rfam family "Bacterial small subunit ribosomal RNA", at positions 524 to 776 of the family's 1533-position model. The record is from RNAcentral.
UACGUAGGGGGCAAGCGUUGUCCGGAAUCAUUGGGCGUAAAGAGCGUGUAGGCGGCUCGAUAAGUCCGCUGUGAAAGUCCAGGGCUCAACCCUGGAAGGCCGGUGGAAACUGUCGGGCUAGAGUCCGGAAGAGGCGAGUGGAAUUCCCGGUGUAGCGGUGAAAUGCGCAGAUAUCGGAAAGAACACCAACGGCGAAAGCACUCUGCUGGGCCGACACUGACACUGAGAGACGAAAGCUAGGGGAGCGAAUGGG